This 851-nucleotide unclassified non-coding RNA is filed under the name Manduca sexta (tobacco hornworm). Its description in RNAcentral is "sET domain-containing protein SmydA-8, transcript variant X2". Lineage: Eukaryota; Metazoa; Arthropoda; Insecta; Lepidoptera; Sphingidae. The record is from RNAcentral.
CAGUUUUAUGUUCAGUUUUGUCCCCGUGUUCCCUCUGUCCCGGUAUACUCAGGCGUAUCUAUUUUGCCAAUUAUGUUGUCAUGGCGUCGCGUCGCGUCGUGAUAAGUAACACUAAAAUGUAAAUUAUACGAAAUACAAAAUGUAAAACACAAAGAGCAAACCACGUACGUAACCACGAAAAGUAAAACAAAAAUAUUUUACAUUCACUGGCAUUAAGUAAACAAAAGCGUAAUAAAAUUCAUAAAGGUCAAAAUUCUAAUAAGUGGAUUCCUUUGUUUGUUUUUACGCCGUCGCGAACGCAUGGCUCCUGCAGAUAGAAACGUAAAAUAAUUUUAAAGGCUCGUUUAAAUUGUGUUAUGUGUAGUUAGUAUUGCAACGUAGUUCAGAGGAGCGUGUCCCGUGCGACGAGUACUGCGCAACAAGUGAAUAAAAUCGGAGACGAUUAUAUCUCGAGAGGCAGUUGUACGAUUGACCGCCAAUUGACAUGGGUGCCGCAGCGAGGAACCCACGGCCACAUGUAAUCACGAGGUGGAUCGGUUUACCUCAGCCAGCUGUCGGAGUCCCGGCUGUCGCUGAAAGAGAACCUGUGCCGCGGCACGUUGCGCGUGCUGGCAGCCCUGGGCGUGGGCGACGCGCACCUCCGCGGCCUCGUUCUCUACCAUCUGCACGCUGCACUAGCAGAACGCGCCAGGCGCUAUCCAGAUCUUUACGAGGAGCUGAAAUCUGAGAUAGAGAAUUGUAUAGAACAAGCGUAUCACAUUCUCCAAGGUGACAUAUCUGCGCCACCGGAUUUGGAACUCAGACACCGAUACCUUGGCCCCGGCUGUGAUAAACCUCAAGAAGAAAAGUUC